GCUAGCGGCAGGCUUAACACAUGCAAGUCGAGGGGUAGAAGGAGCUUGCUCCUUUGAGACCGGCGCACGGGUGCGUAACGCGUAUGCAAUCUACCUUUUGCAGAGGGAUAGCCCAGAGAAAUUUGGAUUAAUACCUCAUAGUAUAGAACAAUCGCAUGAUUGAGCUAUUAAAGUCACAACGGCAAAAGAUGAGCAUGCGUCCCAUUAGUUAGUUAGUAAGGUAACGGCUUACCAAGACUACGAUGGGUAGGGGUCCUGAGAGGGAGAUCCCCCACACUGGUACUGAGACACGGACCAGACUCCUACGGGAGGCAGCAGUGAGGAAUAUUGGACAAUGGGCGCAAGCCUGAUCCAGCCAUGCCGCGUGCAGGAUGACGGUCCUAUGGAUUGUAAACUGCUUUUGUACAGGAAGAAACACCUCUACGUGUAGAGACUUGACGGUACUGUAAGAAUAAGGAUCGGCUAACUCCGUG
This 473-nucleotide ribosomal RNA is filed under the name uncultured bacterium. RNAcentral's name for it is "bacterial SSU rRNA". It matches the Rfam family "Bacterial small subunit ribosomal RNA", at positions 35 to 507 of the family's 1533-position model. The record is from RNAcentral.